GUAACUUAAUUAUUAGCACGGAGUUCUCCGCGCCUCACACUAUAGUCGUUGUUCCCAAGGUCACGCUAAAAACAAGAAUCCAUUCUUUCAUGAUAAAUGGCACGCACCCUAAGGAGAGUUGUGAAGCUGAAUUUUGAUGCAGCUAUGGAUAAAGAAAGAUCAAUAGCUGGGGUAGGAGUUAUCGUGAGAAACACUAAGGGGGAGGUCUUGGGAUCAGUAUUGAGCAAGGAAUGAAAGAUCCAGAAAUUGCAGAGGGAAUGGCAGCUGUAAAAGCUGUAGAAUUUGUGCUAUGAUGGGGCUCCGUGAAGGUUUUUUGGAAGGUAUUGCACAUAUGAUUUUGAUUACAGACAGGAAAAUUAUUGAGUAUAUAAAUAAAUAAAUUAUCUUAUUGGAAAGAGAGAAAUGGAGAUUCUCCAUCAAUCAAACAUCUCCGUGUAGUGUUUUCUCCUCUUUGUACUAUAUAUCUCAAAUUAGCCAAUUAUUUUGAGUAGGUACUCCAUCAUCUCAAGCCCACUCAUGUUUGUCAUCACUAAUUACUAAAGAAAUGAUAAAAAAGCAAAUUUAGCAAAUUCCUAUACAUCAAUUCUGCCCAUCUAUCUCCAUCAGCAAUAUUUAUCCAAUUCUAUCACUUUCAUCUUUGGCCCUUUGGAUUAGCCUAGACGUUUAUUAUCCAUCUUUGGUAUUUGAAAUUGAAAGAUCCUCUCCACUCCACUACAAAAUAUUACUAGAGAUCUUCUAAGAUUUUUUAAAGUCUACUAUCAGGAUAAAAAUAAUUCACAUCGUUCUUUCUAUUUUGUUUCUUCAAAAUUAUCCAUUUCAUUAAAUUUAACACCGUUUCAAUUUUUCACUAUCGUUUUCCCACCAUUUCACCCAAUUUUCAUACUUUCUUCUUUCUUUUGCUCCAUAUUUUUUCACUGUUAAACUUGAGAAAGGCAUAUCAAGGGGCCAAAUCCUUCUUCCUCUUGUUAUCUCUUAUUUGCGGGGGACCGAUAGUUAGGCUCAUCAUGAUUGAAGAUAAUGCAGCCUGGAAAAUAAUAGUUGAAGUGCAACUAUCUCUUUUCUUUUUUUUUUUCUAAGUACACCAAUAAUAGAUGACAUCACUUGCUGUCAACUUGUUCUAUUUUAUUAUUAGAUGUAGAUUAUGCUGGAAUUGUCACCACUGUAAUAUACAAAAUCUAAAAAUAUAGAAUUUAUGUGUCUUGCUGCAGCGAGUGUUUUUUGGGUACAAAGAAGCUAUGUUUCUUUGUGUAAUGACUAUGACUAUGUAAUGUUUGUUGAAAUGUAUCAAUGAAUUUUCAACACAUUAUUGUUAUGAAAUCUGUUCUAUUUUGAGUUAGUUUGAAUCCUUGUUGUGUUUUCUUUGUACUCUCAUAUUUCAGUCUACAUAGUACCAAAAGAUAUACUGAAAUUCAACUAGUUUUGUAUUUAAAUUUGAUCAUGAUAAUAUGAAUUCUUUCAUUCAAUCCCAAACAAAUUGCUUCUCCCUUCUACAAAUGCCUCAAUGUAAAACAACAGAUUGAAACAUCUAGGUGAACUUCAACAAGUUAAUGUGAUAUUUUUUUUUUUUUUGUAUAAAUUUAAACAAAAAUAAACUUAAAAUUUUCAAAAAAAAAAAAAAAAGACAAAGUUUAGUUGAUUGAUAAAACAUUUGCUAGAAACAAUAAGCGGAGGAAGGAUUUUACCCCUUAACAUGCCCUGCACAAGUUUAACAGUGG
Molecule: long non-coding RNA, 1715 nt
Filed under: Durio zibethinus
Lineage: Eukaryota; Viridiplantae; Streptophyta; Magnoliopsida; Malvales; Malvaceae
Description: long non-coding RNA (DZIB_LNC000909)
Source: RNAcentral